CCUACGGGAGGCAGCAGUGAGGAAUUUUCUGCAAUGGGCGAAAGCCUGACAGAGCAAUACCGCGUGAGGGAUGAAGACUUACUGAGUUGUAAACCUCGGUGCCUUAAGGAAGAAGAUCUGACGGUACUUAAGGUGGAAAGCAUCGGCUAACUCCGUGCCAGCAGCCGCGGUAAGACGGGGGAUGCAAGUGUUAUCCGGAAUUACUGGGCGUAAAGCGUCUGCAGGUGGUUUUAUAAGUCUGCUGUUAAAUCUUGAGGCUCAACCUCAAAUCUGCAGUGGAAACUAUAAGACUUGAGUAUAGUAGGGGUAGAGGGAAUUUCCAGUGGAGCGGUGAAAUGCGUAGAUAUUGGAAAGAACACCGAUGGCGAAGGCACUCUACUGGGCUAUUACUGACACUCAGAGACGAAAGCUAGGGGAGCAAAUGGGAUUAGAUACCCCAGUAGUCCUAGCCGUAAACGAUGGAUACUCGAUGUUGGACGUAUCGACCCGUUCAGUAUCUUAGCUAACGCGUUAAGUAUCCCGCCUGGGGAGUACGCUCGCAAGAGUGAAACUCAAAAUUGAAAUUUGACGGG
This 572-nucleotide ribosomal RNA is filed under the name uncultured bacterium. RNAcentral's name for it is "bacterial SSU rRNA". It matches the Rfam family "Bacterial small subunit ribosomal RNA", at positions 338 to 917 of the family's 1533-position model. The record is from RNAcentral.